AAAGUCGUAACAAGGUUUCCGUAGGUGAACCUGCGGAAGGAUCAUUACAUUCAGUAGCCUAGCUAUUGUUCAGGGGGUUGUUAGUCUGCAUAGUGUAAAAGCUGAUGAGCAGCAGACCCCUUGUUUGUACCCUUGUUUUUUGUACCUAUUGUUUCCUCGGCGGGCUCGCUCGCCGGUUCAUAACCCUUUCAAUUUUUAAUCAGCGUCUGAAACAACGUAAUAAUUACAACUUUCAACAACGGAUCUCUUGGUUCUG
Molecule: unclassified non-coding RNA, 256 nt
Filed under: Ascomycota sp.
Lineage: Eukaryota; Fungi; Ascomycota
Description: partial contains small subunit ribosomal RNA, internal transcribed spacer 1, and 5.8S ribosomal RNA
Rfam family: Eukaryotic small subunit ribosomal RNA (bases 1-47)
Source: RNAcentral